CGUAGGGGCAAGCGUUGGCCGGAUUCAUUGGCGGUAAGAAGCGUGUAGGCGGCCAGGUAGGUCGGUUGUGAAAACUGGAGGCUCAACCUUCAGAGGUCGACCGAAACCAUCUGGCUAGAGUCCGGGAGAGGGGAGUGGAAUUCCUGGUGUAGCGGUGAAAUGCGCAGAUAUCAGGAAGAACACCCGUGGCGAAGGCGGCUCUCUGGGACGGUACUGACGCUGAGACGCGAAAGCGUGGGGAGCGAACAGG
RNAcentral lists this ribosomal RNA (250 nucleotides) under uncultured bacterium. RNAcentral describes it as "partial 16S ribosomal RNA". It matches the Rfam family "Bacterial small subunit ribosomal RNA", at positions 526 to 776 of the family's 1533-position model. The record is from RNAcentral.